This 21-nucleotide non-coding RNA is filed under the name Arabidopsis thaliana (thale cress). The record is from RNAcentral. Lineage: Eukaryota; Viridiplantae; Streptophyta; Magnoliopsida; Brassicales; Brassicaceae.
CUGAAUCUCAGUGGAUCGUGG